GGGUCAGUAGGUUGGGCGUGCCACCGGUACGUACUGGUCUCACUGAUUCCUCCUUCCUGAAGAACCGUAAUGCCAUUAAUUUGGUGUUGCGGGGAAACAGGACUGUUACUUUGAAAAAUUAGAGUGUUUAAAGCAAGCUAACGCUUGAAUACAUUAGCAUGGAAUAAUGAAAUAGGACGAUCGAUCCUAUUUUGUUGGUUUCUAGGAUUGACGUA
This 215-nucleotide ribosomal RNA is filed under the name Glomeromycotina sp. RNAcentral's name for it is "partial small subunit ribosomal RNA". The stretch from base 40 to 215 matches the Rfam family "Eukaryotic small subunit ribosomal RNA", at positions 686 to 864 of the family's 1831-position model. Lineage: Eukaryota; Fungi; Glomeromycota. The record is from RNAcentral.